Molecule: long non-coding RNA, 1838 nt
Organism: Anolis carolinensis (green anole)
Lineage: Eukaryota; Metazoa; Chordata; Lepidosauria; Squamata; Anolidae
Source: Ensembl
AUGAAACACAAAACAGAAAGUCAAGAGACAGAAGCACCAUUUUCUUCAUACUGUACUCAUUCCAGCAUUCCUCCCUCUUGUCCUCUCUCUCUUCAUGAAGCCAAACACACCAGGAAUAAAAACCACACAAAAUCAACUAACCUAAAGUUCCUCAAAGCGGACAAGAGCAAAGAGUACAGCAAUCUUCCAAAGAUAGCACGAGGCACAGAAGCACGAGGCACGUAGGCUGCUCCCUUGAAGCCCGAAAGCCCUGGACUCUCGCGCUAACACUCCCUCUGGGGCUUGCUGUCCAUUCAAAACACUGCUCUUAUGUCAAAGUGAAACCAGUUAUAUGGCUGUUAUGGCUCUUAACUCAAAAUGCUCACAAGUUGGGGUGCUCUUAAGUUGAGGUUUCAUUGUAUAUGCAACAUUAACAUUUUCUUUUCUCCAAAGUAGCUCGUGGUGGCAUAGCUGGCCCCAUUCCAUCUGUAUCCUCACAACAAUACUGUGAAGUUACAACUGAUUCACACAAUUGUAACUUCAUUCAGUAUCACUGAGUGAUCUGCACGGCUGAAGGCAGAUUUGGAGUGGUUCUCCACAGUGUAGCUGAAGCCAGUAACUAGCAAGACCCUAGAUUUUACAUAACCAAUGUAGUAAACAUUGAGAUUGUGUGGCGGAGUUGUUUGAGAGUUGAACUACAACUCUGAAGAACAGGAUUCAAAUACCCUGCUCUACCAUGGGUGUCCUUGGGCAAGUCAUAUACUCUCAGCCCCAGAAAUCCCCUUAGGAGUCCCAUAAAUUGGAAAUAACUUGAAGGCACACAACAAUAAAACUUUGAUGCUUUGCAUUUUGAUUCUGUGGUCACAGAAGUAUGCUGCUGCUGCUCAGUUGUUUAAAUAUAGGCAAUAUCUAUCAUCACAGGGUGGGGCUGAGGUGUAUCUGGUUAGUAGCCAGGUGCAAUAAAUCACUAUUGACUGAGAAGUCAUGAGUUCAAAGCCCAGGUUGGAUUGAGUGCCCAACCAUUAAAUAGCCCCAGCUCGUUGUUUACCUAAGCAACCCGAAAGACAAUUGCAUCUGUCAAAUAGGAAAUUUAGGGACCGCUUAUGCGGGGAGACUAAUUUAACUAAUUUACAUCACCAUAAAAAUGUCCAGCAGUGUGUGUGCUGGAAGAUGAGGAAGUAUUCCAUCAAGGACUCAGCGUCACAGAGGAUGAUGAAGCAGCAGCUUCUCCUGUGGCCGGAAUCGAGUAUACCCUCAUGAAGUCAGAAGCUGGAAAAUGUUAAAUAGCCUCUGUGUCUCUGUCUGUGUGUGUCGUAUGUCUAAUGGCAGUGAAUGUUUGCCAUGUAUGUGUACAUUGUGAUCCGUCUUGCGUCCCCUUCAGGGUGAGAAGGGUGGAAUAUAAAUACUGUAAAUAAAUAAAUUUCUCCCACAUGUGCCAGGGAUUAAUACUCUAUUCCUCCUGGUUACUAUUCUUUCUUCUUCUUGGGAAAACAGACACUGGCACCUGAUGGCUUGUUGAUUCCCAAUUUGAGUAGCAUUGCCAUAAAAACAUGUGACAUUAUUUUAACUAUGAAAUCCUUUAGAAAGAGAAGAAUUGUUUGUUCUAAUUGUUCCUAUGAAAACUCAUAAUAGUCAUGUGCUACCACCCAAGUACUGUUUGUUAAAAAGCCAGUGAUAUAUUAAUGAUACACCCUUCAGUUCUCCCUCACCCUAGCAUAUCUCUCUCUCUAUAAUAACAUGCCAACUAAAGCAGUACUGUGCAUCCAAACAAGUGGGCCUACAGUCCAUGAAAGCUUAUGAUACAAAAAAGUUCUUAAUCUUGAAGGUGUCACAAGAGUUUUUGUUGUUUUUGCUGCAAC